GAUGAACGCUGGCGGCGUGCUUAACACAUGCAAGUCGAACGAUGAAGCCCAGCUUGCUGGGUGGAUUAGUGGCGAACGGGUGAGUAACACGUGAGUAACCUGCCCUUAACUCUGGAUAAGCCUGGGAAACUGGGUCUAAUACCGGAUAGGAGCGUCCACCGCAUGGUGGGUGUUGGAAAGAUUUAUCGGUUUUGGAUGGACUCGCGGCCUAUCAGCUUGUUGGUGAGGUAAUGGCUCACCAAGGCGACGACGGGUAGCCGGCCUGAGAGGGUGACCGGCCACACUGGGACUGAGACACGGCCCAGACUCCUACGGGAGGCAGCAGUGGGGAAUAUUGCACAAUGGGCGAAAGCCUGAUGCAGCGACGCCGCGUGAGGGAUGACGGCCUUCGGGUUGUAAACCUCUUUCAGUAGGGAAGAAGCGAAAGUGACGGUACCUGCAGAAGAAGCACCGGCUAACUACGUG
RNAcentral lists this ribosomal RNA (465 nucleotides) under uncultured bacterium. RNAcentral's name for it is "partial 16S ribosomal RNA". It matches the Rfam family "Bacterial small subunit ribosomal RNA", at positions 28 to 507 of the family's 1533-position model. The record is from RNAcentral.